GUGGGGAAUCUUGCGCAAUGGGCGAAAGCCUGACGCAGCCAUGCCGCGUGAAUGAUGAAGGUCUUAGGAUUGUAAAAUUCUUUCACCGGGGACGAUAAUGACGGUACCCGGAGAAGAAGCUCCGGCUAACUUCGUGCCAGCAGCCGCGGUAAUACGAAGGGGGCUAGCGUUGCUCGGAAUUACUGGGCGUAAAGGGCGCGUAGGCGGACAGCUUAGUCAGAGGUGAAAGCCCAGGGCUCAACCUUGGAAUUGCCUUUGAUACUGGCUGUCUUGAGUUUGGGAGAGGUGAGUGGAACUCCGAGUGUAGAGGUGAAGUUCGUAGAUAUUCGGAAGAACACCAGUGGCGAAGGCGACUCACUGGCCCAAUACUGACGCUGAGGCGCGAAAGCGUGGGGAGCAAACAGGAUUAGAAACCCGAGUAGUCC
RNAcentral lists this ribosomal RNA (425 nucleotides) under uncultured bacterium. Its description in RNAcentral is "partial 16S ribosomal RNA". It matches the Rfam family "Bacterial small subunit ribosomal RNA", at positions 354 to 796 of the family's 1533-position model. The record is from RNAcentral.